UACGUAGGGUGCAAGCGUUAAUCGGAAUUACUGGCGUAAAGCGUGCGCAGGCGGUUUUGUAAGUCAGAUGUGAAAUCCCCCGGGCUUAACCUGGGAACUGCGUUUGAAACUACAAGGCUAGAGUGUGGCAGAGGGGGGUGGAAUUCCGACGUGUAGCAGUGAAAUGCGUAGAUAUGCGGAGGAACACCGAUGGCGAAGGCAAUCCCCUGGGCCUGCACUGACGCUCAUGCACGAAAGCGUGGGGAGCAAACAGGAUAGAUACCCCGAGUAG
This 271-nucleotide ribosomal RNA is filed under the name uncultured bacterium. RNAcentral's name for it is "partial 16S ribosomal RNA". It matches the Rfam family "Bacterial small subunit ribosomal RNA", at positions 524 to 793 of the family's 1533-position model. The record is from RNAcentral.